GCACCAUCUUGGAAAUGCAAGAGAAAGGCCAGGCAGUGAUGUCGGAUUCUAGGUGUAAUUUAGACGUUGUCCACAAGAUGGCAGCAGUGUAAAGCUUCAGACUGAUACAAUAUUUGGUAUCAAGUCUGCCAGGAGUUUGCCCAAAUGUGCCGAAUUGGUCAAUUUAUACAUUUUCAGUAAUCUUGCUCUUGAUUUUGUCAUCCUGAGGGUCCCAGAGAUAAAAUGUAGUGUAGUUUUGUUUGGAAAAAUACUUUUUUAUAUUCAAACGUAGAGAACUGGAUUCUACAGUUUGACCCCAUUGCUGUCUCUGGUUCCACACCCACCAUACCCGGCCACAUAGAUGUGUGGAAGAUAAUGUUUUACACUCAGUGCAGUAAUCUGCUAAUAUCCUUCUUGGCCACUAAAAAGAGAGACACCAGAUAAACAAUACAAAUAUUUUUUUAAUUCAUUGACAACUUUGGUUUCCUACAUGUAACAUCACAUCAUGUAUCUAUCUAUCUAUCUAUCUAUCUAACUGUAGUAGUAUGUAACAUCACAUCAUGUAUGUAACUGUAGUGGUAUGUAACAUCACAUCAUGUAUGUAACUGUAGUGGUAUGUAACAUCAUGUAUGUAACUGUAGUAGUAUGUAACAUCAUGUAUGUAACUGUAAUAGUAUGUAACAUCAUGUAUGUAACUGAAGUGGUAUGUAACAUCAUGUAUGUAACUGAAGUAGUAUGUAACAUCACAUCAUGUAUCUAUCUAACUGUAGCAGUAUGUAACAUCAUGUAUGUAACUGUAGUAGUAUGUAACAUCACAUCAUGUAUGUAACAUCAUGUAUGUAACUGUAGUAGUAUGUAACAUCACAUCAUGUAUGUAACAUCAUGUAACGGCCUGGCCAUAGAGAGGGGUUUUUUGUUCUUUAUUUUGGUUAGGCCAGGGUGUUACAUUGGGUGGGCGUUCUACGUUCUGUUUCUAUGUGUUUGUAGUUCUUUGUUUUGGGCCGUGUGUGGCUCCCAAUCAGGCACAGCUGAAGUUCGUUGUUGCUGAUUGGGAGUCACACAUAAGGAGCAUGUUUUUCCGUUGGGGUUUUUGGUGGGUAAUUGUUUCUGUUUAGUGUUUUGCACCUGACGGGACUGUUUGGCUGUUCGGUUUUCUUGUUUUGUUUCGUAUAUUGUGUUCUUUCUAUUAAAUUAAAUUCAAUGAUGAACACUAACUCUGCUGCACCUUGGUCUACUCUCUCUCUACCGACAGCCGUUACACAUCAUGUAUGUAACUGUAGUAGUAUGUAACAUCAUGUAUGUAUGUAACUGUAGUAGUAUGUAACAUCUAUGUAACUGUAGUAGCAUGUAACAUCAUGUAUGUAACAUUAUGUAUGUAACAUUAUGUAUGUAACAUCAUUAGCAUGUAACAUGUAUGUAACUGUAGUAGUAUGUAACAUCAUGUAUGUAACAUGUAUGUAACUGUAAUAGUAUGCAACAUCAUGUGUGUGACUGUAGUAGUAUGUAACAUCCGAUCAUGUAUGUAACUGUAGUAGUAUGUGACAUCAGAUCAUGUAUGUAACUGUAGUAGUAUGUAACAUCACAUCAUGUACGUAACUGUAGUAGUAUGUAACAUCACAUUAUGUAUGUAACUGUAGUAGUAUAUAACAUGUAUGUAACUGUAGCAGUAUGUAAAUUCAUGUAUGUAACUGUAGUAGUAUGUUACAUCACAUCAUGUAUGUAACAUCAUGUAUGUAACAUCACAUCAUGUAUGUAACUGUAGUAGUAUGUAACAUCAGAUCAUGUAUGUAACAUCAUGUAUGUAACAUCACAUCAUGUAUGUAACUGUAGUAGUAUGUAACAUCAGAUCAUGUAUGUAACUGUAGUAGUAUGUAACUUCACAUCAUGUAUGUAACUGUAGUAGUAUGUAACUUCACAUCAUGUAUGUAACUGUAGUAGUAUGAAACAUCACAUCAUGUAUGUAACUGUAGUAGUAUGUAACAUCAUGUAUGUAACUGUAGUAGUAUGUAAUAUCACAUCAUGUGUGUAACUGUAGAAGUAUGUAACACCACAUCAUGUAUGUAACUGUAAUAGUAUGUAACAUCAAUUAUGUAAAUGUAUUGGUAGUAUGUAACAUCAUGUAUGUAACUGUAGUAGAUGUAACAUUAUGUAUGUAACUGUAGCAGUAUUUAACAUGUAUGUAAAUGUAGCAGUAUGUAACAUCAUGUAUGUAACAUCUAUGUAACUGUAGCAGUAUUUAACAUGUAUGUAAAUGUAGCAGUAUGUAACAUCAUGUAUGUAACAUCAUGUAUGUAACUGUAGUAGAAUGUAACAUGUAUGUAACUGUAGUAGAAUGUAACAUCAUGAAUGUAACAUCAUGUAUGUAACUGUAGUUGUAUGUAACAUCAUGUAUGUAACUGUAAUAGUAUGUAACAUCAUGUAUGUAACUGUAGUAGUAUGCAACAUCAUGUAUGUAACUGUAGUAGUAUGUUACAUCACAUCAUGUAUGUAACUGUAGUAGAAUGUAACAUGUAUGUAACUGUAGUAGUAUGUAACAUGUAUGUAACUGUAGUAGUAUGUAACAUGUAUGUAACUGUAGUAGUAUGUAACAUCAUUUAUGUAACAUCAUGUAUGUACCAUCUAUGUAACUGUAGUAUAAUGUAACAUCAGAUCAUGUAUGUAACUGCAGUAGUAUGUAACAUCACAUCAUGUAUGUAACUGUAGUAGUAUGUAACAUCACAUCAUGUAUGUAACAUCAUGUAUGUAACUGUAGUAGUAUGUAACAUCAUGUAUGUAACUGUAGUGGUAUUUAACAUGUAUGUAACUGUAGUAUGCAGCUUAAUACAGUGAGAUACAGUCUACAGCCUACUACAACAGUGAGAUGCAGCCUACUACAGUGAGAUACGCCCUACUACAGUGAGAUGCAGCCUACUACAGUGAGAUACAGCCUACUACAGUGAGAUGCAGCCUACUACAGUGAGAUACAGCCUACUACAGUGAGAUACAGCCUACUACAGUGAGAUGCAGCCUACAGCCUACUACAGUGAUACGCCCUACUACAGUGAGAUGCAGCCUACUACAGUGAGAUGCAGCCUACAGCCUACUACAGUGAUACGCCCUACUACAGUGAGAUGCAGCCUACUACAGUGAGAUGCAGCCUACAGCCUACUACAGUGAGAUGCAGCCUACUACAGUGAGAUGCAGCCUACAGCCUACUACAGUGAGAUGCAGCCUACUACAGUGAGAUGCAGCCUACUACAGUGAGAUGCAGCCUACUACAGUGAGAUACAGUCUACUACAGUGAGAUGCAGCCUACAGCCUACUACAGUGAGAUGCAGCCUACUACAGUGAGAUGCAGCCUACUACAGUGAGAUGCAGCCUACCACAGUGAGAUACAGACUACAGCCUACUACAGUGAGAUACAGACUACAGCCUACUACAGUGAGAUGCAGCCUACAGUCUACUACAGUGAGAUGCAGACUACUACUGUGAGAUGCAGCCUACAGCCUACUA
This 3471-nucleotide long non-coding RNA is filed under the name Salmo salar (Atlantic salmon). Its description in RNAcentral is "lncRNA (ENSSSAG00000093789.1)". The record is from RNAcentral. Lineage: Eukaryota; Metazoa; Chordata; Actinopteri; Salmoniformes; Salmonidae.